This 1221-nucleotide ribosomal RNA is filed under the name Chaetostomella vibrissata. RNAcentral describes it as "partial 16S ribosomal RNA". The record is from RNAcentral. Lineage: Eukaryota; Metazoa; Arthropoda; Insecta; Diptera; Tephritidae.
UGCAAAUCAAUUUAAAUUGAUAUUAUAAUUUAUUUAUUAAUAAGUUUUUAUUAUAAUUUUAAUUUUAUUAAAAAUAAUUAUAUAAUUUAUUUGUUUUAGUAAUUUUUAAUGAAAAAAUAAUUUUUAUAAUAGUUUAUUUGUAUUGUGAAAGAUAGUUGAAAUAUUUUGAAAAAUUUUUAUAAAAAAAGAAAAAUUUUUUUUUUUGUACCUUGUGUAUCAGGGUUUAUUAAAUAAUUAAUAAUAAUUUUAUUAUUUUCGAUUUUAUAAGAGUUAAUAAUUUACUAAAUUUAGUGUAUUAAAAUUAUUUUUAAUAAGUUAUUAGAAAUGAAAUGUUAUUCGUUUAUAAAGGUAUCUAGUUUUUUUAGAAAUAAAUUUAAUUUAUAAAUUUUUAAUUUUUUUAUUUUUUAUAAAAUAAAAAAAAUUAUAAAUUUAGAUAUUUUAAGGGAUAAGCUUUAAAAUAAAUUAUUAUAAUUUACUAAAUUAUUAUUUUAAAUGUAUGCUUAGAAUUAGCAAUUAUUUAUAAUAUUGUUAUAAAUUAUUUUAUUAAUAUAAUAUUUAAUUAAUUUUAAUAUUUUUAUAAAAAUUUUUUUUUUAAUUUUUAUUAAAAAGUAUUAAUGAUAAAAUUAGUAUAUUAUUUAUAUGUAAUAAAUAAAUUUAUUUGAUAAGUUUAUAUAAAGAACUCGGCAAAUAUUAUACUCGCCUGUUUAACAAAAACAUGUCUUUUUGAGUUAUUUUUAAAGUCUAACCUGCCCAAUGAAAAAUUUUUAAUGGCCGCAGUAUUCUAACUGUGCAAAGGUAGCAUAAUCAUUAGUCUUUUAAUUGAAGGCUUGUAUGAAUGGUUGGACGAAGUAUAAACUGUUUCAUUUAAAUUUAUAAUAGAAUUUUAUUUUUUAGUAAAAAAGCUAAAAUAUAAUUAAAAGACGAGAAGACCCUAUAAAUCUUUAUAUUAUAACUUAUUAUUUUUUUUUUGAUUUUUUAAAAUUUAAUAAUUUAUAAUAUUUUGUUGGGGUGAUAUUAAAAUUUAAAAAACUUUUAAUUUAAUUUUUACAUUAAUUUAUGAUUUAUUGAUCCUUUAAUAAUGAUUAUAAGAAUAAGUUACUUUAGGGAUAACAGCGUAAUUUUUUUGGAGAGUUCUUAUCGAUAAAAAAGUUUGCGACCUCGAUGUUGGAUUAAGAGAUAUUUUUAGGUGUAGUUGCUUAAAUAUAAAGUCUGUUCGACUUU